RNAcentral lists this ribosomal RNA (497 nucleotides) under Ophiopteris antipodum. RNAcentral's name for it is "eukaryotic LSU rRNA". It matches the Rfam family "Eukaryotic large subunit ribosomal RNA", at positions 589 to 848 of the family's 3401-position model. Lineage: Eukaryota; Metazoa; Echinodermata; Ophiuroidea; Amphilepidida; Ophiocomidae. The record is from RNAcentral.
CCGAGUGGACGCGGUGAAGGCAGGUAGCUCGUUCGGUCUCCGGGCCGGAAGAGAACGUACAGUCUCGCCGUCUGCAUCGGUCGCAAGGUCGAGGAAAUUUGACCACGUUCUGCGCCUGCUCGGCCUUCGGGCCUUGGGCUGGAGCCGCCGGACUCCCGCUCGUGCGGCAUACGGGGACUGUCCUCAGUGCCCGCUUGCUCGUGCGGUAGGGUCAGGCCGGUUCGCCUCUCAGGCGCACGGGGUCUGCCAACUUGGCCGGGCGCCUUUUCGACCCGUCUUGAAACACGGACCAAGAAGUCUAACGGACACGCAAGUCGAAGGGCCUUUUAAGCCCGAAGGCGAAAUGAAAGUGAAAGCCGGUGUAGGCCGGCUGAGGUGGGAUCUUCUGCCCUGGCGAGGCGCACCACCGCCCCGUCUCGUCCGCUUUGCUCGGUGAGGCGGAGGUAGAGCGUGUACGCUAGGACCCGAAAGAUGGUGAACUAUGCCCGAGCAGGAUG